This 478-nucleotide ribosomal RNA is filed under the name uncultured bacterium. RNAcentral describes it as "partial 16S ribosomal RNA". It matches the Rfam family "Bacterial small subunit ribosomal RNA", at positions 28 to 507 of the family's 1533-position model. The record is from RNAcentral.
GACGAACGCUGGCGGCGUGCUUAACACAUGCAAGUCGAACGGGAUUUAGUAGACAGAAGCCUCGGCUAAAGAUUACUAAUGAGAGUGGCGAACGGGUGAGUAACGCGUGAGCAACCUGCCUAUGACAGUGGGAUAGCCUCGGGAAACCGGGAUUAAUACCGCAUAAAAUCGUAGAAACACAUGUUUUAACGGUCAAAGAUUUAUCGGUCAUAGAUGGGCUCGCGUCUGAUUAGCUAGUUGGUGAGAUAACAGCCCACCAAGGCGACGAUCAGUAGCCGGUCUGAGAGGAUGAACGGCCACAUUGGAACUGAGACACGGUCCAAACUCCUACGGGAGGCAGCAGUGGGGAAUAUUGCACAAUGGGGGAAACCCUGAUGCAGCGACGCCGCGUGAACGAAGAAGGUAUUCGUAUCGUAAAGUUCUGUCCUAUGGGAAGAUAAUGACAGUGCCAUAGAAGAAAGCGCCGGCUAAAUACGUG